GCCAUUCGGCACCAUUAGCAAGCUGUUUGCAGGAGCAGAAAUAGCUGUGUUCUCAUCCACCCUGCCAGCUGGCCAUAGCACAGCUGUAGUGCCAUGGGUGGCAAGGAGCAGAGCUGUGGGCCUCGGGACACCCGCUGGCCCCCUAUAGAAUUGCAGUCACAUAGCCUACAGCUCUGGGGCAGUAGUCCCUCAUUAACUCUGCAUCAAACUAUUCCCAGAUGCCUUUGCGGGCAUGUAGAUUAGCUGCACUGUAACACAGAAUGCAGUCAGCUGUCGGUGUCUCUCUGCGAGGGCACCUGUGGCCCUUUGGGUGAGGUACAGCCGUUGGCUGGUGCCCACUCAAAUCUCAGUCUAAAUAAAAUGGGAUAAAAGUCCAGCCAGAGCCCAUGAAGAGCAGCACAUCAGCCGCUGGCUCAGUGCUGAGGCAUUAGCAAAGCUGUAUGCCAAUGAGUAAAUACCCAGCUCUCAGCAGGGGACCGUUUUCAGGGCAAAGCAAAUGGGUAGACACACCACAGAGGAACAGCAAGGAGCGGUCGCAGCCACAUGGUAUCCCUUAUAACCAGCCACCAACUCACUAGAGAUCCCUCACUCAGGGUGUCAUGCUGCUGCCCAGCACUAUAGGAGCACAGUGUCUUUUGUGCAAACUGCAUAGUGAAGUAAGUCCCUAGCAGCCAUCAGCCUCCAUGUUGUAAUGAGGGUGGGGGGCCACUAGCUGUCUUCUACUGAAGCCAAUGGGAGUGACCUCUGGGAUGAUUUUGGCCUAACCUGGCUGUAGAAGCUCACUUAUACAUGGGAGCAGGCAGCAGCUUUCUGCAGCACAAGAUCUGAUAAGCCUUCUCACAGGGGAGGGCUGAGGCCUGUGUGAACCACUGCUCCAGCGCCAUGGAGCACCAGCAAUCAAAAGGAGCUUGGGAGUUCCAUACCCUGUCAACAGAGGAUCCUAGUCUGAGGCAGGACAAGUGUGCUGUAUUUCCCCGAUCGCUGGUGGCACGCCACCCUCAACUUGGACACAAGUGUCUUCAUCUCCACCUUCCUGGGGUAGAAACUCAGGGCUUUGCCUACCAGCCUGCCAUUCCUCAGGAGCUGAAUUGUUCACUUCCCUCCCGCCAAAGCCCUGGGAUGCUGCUGGUGAAUUCUAGCCAUCUCUCUCCACUGUAACCCUGCAGGCAGAGCUGGACUCUGGCAGUGGGGCUGAUCCAGCUCUAAUCCAUCUAGGAUUUAUCCUGGUCUAUAUGAGCACCCCCAUCAUUCUGUGAUGCAGCAGCUGCUGAGGUUGGGUUGGAGGGGGAACCCGUCUCCUUUCUCCCAUACAGGGCAGGAGCUUCCACCAGCUGGUGGCGUUUUCUGCUGUACUUACAACUCUGCACUUUCUGUUCCUCAGCUCCAUUGGCAGAGCUCCUCCUGCCUGCCUGCUCACCCCACCCCCUUCCUUCACAUCCGCUUUGUGUUUCUAACAUCUGAGGAACAGAGUCCAUGGCAGAAGGCAGCUUCUAGCUCAACUCUGGUCUCUAGGCAGGAGUGACAUUACGAUGUAGGCUCUUCUUUAAAUAGACCAUUGGUCAGUAGCACAGAACCAGCCACUCCAGCUCUAGAGCUAAACCACCAGGUAUAGGGCAUGGUCUAGUCUCAGAUGUCCUUGUAUCUGCCCCUGGUGACCCUCCCUCAGCAGCUCUGCUGAGAACUCAUUUCCUGGUGCUCAUUCAUGGGUGCAGGGAAAAAUUGAAGGACCAGUGUCUGUUACCCGGGAAUACCCUGCGGCUGGGGGUGGCUGGGCUGGCUUUCACUUGAAUGUUAAUGUUCAAGCAGCAAAGGAUACUUGAAGUAGGAGUUUAGGUUAUUUAUGGGCAUUUUCCCAUUUCAAAUCUGGAUUAAAAUAUAACUGCCUUAUCUCUGCACUUGUCGUGACUGCCUUAGAACUGAAUCUUACCACACCACAGCCAGCCUCUGACACAAGCAGCUGUUACCUUUUCCUCUCAUUUACUCUUGGCCCCCAGGGAUGGUGGUAAAUUCAUCCCCCUCUGCCAUGCCCAGGAUUAUUCCAGGACUCAAUCUGGUUUAGGGGUUAUUUUCACAAUUGUUGCCCCUCCCCUCGAUGCAGAGUUUGUGCUUUUCAACCAGCACCUUACACACACAAUCUGACUACGCUGCAGCUGGGAGG
Molecule: long non-coding RNA, 2158 nt
Filed under: Gopherus agassizii (Agassiz's desert tortoise)
Lineage: Eukaryota; Metazoa; Chordata; Testudines; Testudinidae
Description: lncRNA (ENSGAGG00000008024.1)
Source: RNAcentral